GGUUCCUUUAAGGUCAGUCCCGUGAGGCUGACAAGGAAGCAGAAAGUUUCGGGAAAUCCUGAUGUGAACCAAAUCUUUAGGUGUUGGAGAGAGCGGCUGCCUGCUUGCAAGGAACCUUGUGAGCAGGUUUUUUU
Molecule: non-coding RNA, 134 nt
Organism: Thermoanaerobacterales bacterium 50_218
Lineage: Bacteria; Bacillati; Bacillota; Clostridia; Thermoanaerobacterales
Source: Rfam